RNAcentral lists this non-coding RNA (23 nucleotides) under Gallus gallus (chicken). The record is from miRBase by way of RNAcentral. Lineage: Eukaryota; Metazoa; Chordata; Aves; Galliformes; Phasianidae.
UGUAGUUUAAGAGGAUAGGUCUU